This 806-nucleotide long non-coding RNA is filed under the name Homo sapiens (human). Its description in RNAcentral is "HSALNT0018425". The record is from RNAcentral. Lineage: Eukaryota; Metazoa; Chordata; Mammalia; Primates; Hominidae.
ACGGUCUGCCUGUUGCCCCAGUUCACUGCCACACCCUCACCCCACACAUACACAACAGACCUCUCCUUUAGUUUUCAAGCCACUAGGCAAUUGAAAUGUUUGUGUGAAUUUUCACAUAAAGUCUAGUCUUUGUGUCAAAUGUGCAAUAAGCCUCAACAUUUGCAUAGAGCAAACAAGGAAGUCUUGUUAGGAAAUUUGUUCCUUAGGAGCUUAUGUCUUAAAUUGGACUGGUGCCUUUUGUUGUCACAGUUGUUUUUAUAAUGACAUGCACAUAGGUUUGCCUUUCUGAAUUCUUAUGUUGAAUCUACUGUUGGUUGGCACCUGCCACUAGCAUAAAUUUCUACUCUUUCAAUCAGUGGGACAAAUUCACAUGCCAGUCGAGGCUGAUUCACCUGUUUAGGGCUGUGAGUGAUUUGAAGAGGACUACCUUCUCAGCACUUCUUUGGCCCAGAGUCACAGGAACCCUCUUCUCAAGAAUGUGGUCCUGGGACCUCUGAGAGGGUCUGGAAUUAGGGUUCAGGUACCAUCCAUCUGUUACGUGCUUUGAAGAUGCCACUCCAUCUGUGGGAUUCAAUUUACAUAAACUGAAGACUAUUCUUCUGAGUUGAAGUGAGGAGAGGCAUCAAUCACACUGGAAAAUUAUUUGAUCUCCUGGAAGCAAAAAGUCCACCAUGAAGUUGUUCUUGCCAUGGACUUCUAGAGGAGCUGACUGUCCUUUGGGAAGCUACAAAUACAGCCUUAAAAUCUGUUAGCAGGGAAGAGAGGCUUUUUCUGAGUGAUCAGCAAGCUCCAUUCUGAAAGUGCUG